UAAGACGAAGGAUGCAAGCGUUAUCCGGAUUCAUUGGGUUUAAAGGGAGCGUAGGUGGCCUUAUAAGUCAGUGGUGAAAUCUCUCGGCUUAACUGAGAAAUUGCCAUUGAUACUGUAGGGCUUGAGUACAGUUGCUGUGGGCGGAAUAUGACAUGUAGUGGUGAAAUACAUAGAGAUGUCAUAGAACACCGAUUGCGAAGGCAGCUCACAAAACUGUAACUGACACUGAGGCUCGAAAGUGCGGGGAUCAAACAGGAUUAGAUACCCUGGUAGUCCGCACUGUAAACGAUGAUUACUCGCUGCUGGAGGGCAACUUUCAGUGGCUUAGCAAAAGCGAUAAGUAAUCCACCUGGGGAGUACGCCGGCAACGGUG
RNAcentral lists this ribosomal RNA (373 nucleotides) under uncultured bacterium. RNAcentral's name for it is "bacterial SSU rRNA". It matches the Rfam family "Bacterial small subunit ribosomal RNA", at positions 521 to 896 of the family's 1533-position model. The record is from RNAcentral.